AGUCUUGUCUUUUCCUGGUUUUAAGAGCUGCAUUACAGUAAAAUGAUGUAAUUUUCUGAACUUACCAGACUGUUCCAUCAUUGAGUGCACUUAUAUGGACAUGAAUAACCCAUUUAUGAUCGGGAUUUUGGAGCAUCCUGUCUGUGUGUUUGAGCAUGUGAACACCAGAAUAUGCUCGCUGGAGUACUCUGAAAGAAACCUGGAUGUAUACAGGUAAUAUGAAUAACCCGAUUUCUCUGUGCUUAUGUAAACACUACAUCCCGAAUGUGAUCAUAACCGUGACAAGUCUCAUUAAACAGGUAAUUCAUGUCCAUGUAAUUUCACUCAUUAUAUCCAUAUUACUGCUGAGUAUUUAUCAAAAAUCUUAUCCUGUAAAUAUUUUGUGAAGCACCUACAAUCAACCCUACAAUACUGCAAUAACGAUAUUAAGUUACCUGGUCAAAAAUAUACAGAUGUUUAGUAUUUUAUUUCCAAUGGUUAAAGAUAUACUGCACAGGAUUUUCCUAAAACAUGAUGCAUAGACCCUUACAGAAGUAAUCCCUCUCAAGCCUCACUUAUGACCCACUGGAAGUGUGUGGCGCUGUGUUUUUCUGCAGAGACUCUGCCCUCUGCCUGUAUUUUCUUAUGUUCUUCUCAUUUACUGUGUUCUGGACAUUUAUGGGCAUGAACCCCCACAGUGUUUAGGUGAGAUCGUGGCUUUAUAAAAAGGUAGCGACCAGGUGCUAGACUGUAAGCAGCAGCCAGCCAGGAGACACAGCGCUGAAAGAAGGCAAACAUAUCAAGGCUAAACACCUAACAGGAGUGAAUCUGGAGUUGGCCUUUACUUUCAUUUUCGCAAACAGUAACUGGCAAUCCUCCUAUAGUGUACCUUUAAUACAAAAGAUAACACGGCAGGUAUUAUACUUUAAACCGCAAUCACAGGCAAUAAGAAGGUCACUCCCUGCAUGUAAACAAGCCUCUGAUUUGAUGUUGACUAUAGUGCUAGCUGGAGGUUGAUCCACUAAGCUCAUAUUAAGACAGUGUUCAGUCAGUAAUGUGUGACAGGACUGUUUUUACUUCCCACACUGGCUUUUACCCAUAAUUUAAUAGUUAUACGUGUGCCUGCUGGCCAAACACUCAUGCGGGGUAUUUACUGUACAUACUGGCUUCCCUUUCCCUAUCAAUAUACAUCUUAUUAAUAUAUAUUAUUGACACCAUCAUUAUCAAGUUAGACUAUUAGUGCUUUUUGAUAUUACAUCACAGGUCCAUCAAAUGUCUUUGAAUAGCGCAACCAGCUGGCUAGUCAGCAUCACCUUUUCUCAUUCAAACAUCAGAUGCAACGCUGUGAAAAUAAAGUAUCACCGUCUCGAGUGAAGUGAUGCUUGAACUUCUCAAAGACCCCAGUGAUCAACGAUCAGUGUCCUAUGAUCUUUCAGCACGAUUUAAACACACGCACGCAUACACACACACAUUGUCUAAAAGAGAUAACACUUUGGCCACUCGCGCUCAAACAUGUUGUGCUUUAAAAGUGCUGAAUAUAACUCUGGAGAAAGAGAUGUUGGGUCUCAUUCCCAGCAAUCAGCUAUCUUUCUCCAGAGUUACAUGCAGCACCUUAAAGUUUAAAGGUUGUAUUUUCCACAUCAAGCUGGAGCUCAAACUCAUGCUUUAGGGUGAAGAAGUAGGAAAUGAGACAGACAUUUUGCGUUGGCCACAGUGAAAGAACACCCCCCCCCCAAAUCUCACAUUCUACAGUUAACUGGAAAAUGCUGGA
Epinephelus lanceolatus (giant grouper) is the source of this 1750-nucleotide non-coding RNA. The record is from RefSeq and is a predicted model, not a curated record. NCBI's taxonomy places the organism in Eukaryota, Metazoa, Chordata, Actinopteri, Perciformes, Serranidae.